This 213-nucleotide long non-coding RNA is filed under the name Vigna radiata. RNAcentral describes it as "long non-coding RNA (VRAD_LNC002532)". The record is from RNAcentral. Lineage: Eukaryota; Viridiplantae; Streptophyta; Magnoliopsida; Fabales; Fabaceae.
UCGCCAUUUAGUUGACUUCCAUUUCAUGGGAGAUUUAAGCGGACCUUCGGGUGGUGACUAUAAGGAGGUGAGAUUGAGAAAAAGUUUUAACAAGGAUCUUAUCGGGAUCUUGAGUGUGGAUUUUCGAACAGGUAGCAAGAUCCUAGUAGUAGCGUUGAGAGCUCUUGUUGGUAGGAAUGAGAUUCUUUACUGUUGAGAAGGGAGAGAUCCACC